CAGGAAAACGAGUAUGUUUUCCUGGCACUAUAGUGGUCCUUUAAGUAGCAUUAACCUCCUGGCAAUCCCUUUACAUCAUGGAUGGUGUUGGCAAAUAAUGUGUCAUUAAAGGACCACUAUAGUGCCAGGAAAACAUACUCGUUUUCCUGGCACUAU
Pelobates cultripes (western spadefoot toad) is the source of this 156-nucleotide non-coding RNA. The record is from the annotation of a GenBank genome assembly. Lineage: Eukaryota; Metazoa; Chordata; Amphibia; Anura; Pelobatidae.